This 253-nucleotide ribosomal RNA is filed under the name uncultured bacterium. RNAcentral describes it as "partial 16S ribosomal RNA". It matches the Rfam family "Bacterial small subunit ribosomal RNA", at positions 524 to 776 of the family's 1533-position model. The record is from RNAcentral.
UACGAAGGGUGCAAGCGUUACUCGGAAUUACUGGGCGUAAAGCGUGCGUAGGUGGUGAGUUAAGUCUGUCGUGAAAGCCCCGGGCUCAACCUGGGAAUGGCGAUGGAUACUGGCUCGCUAGAGUGCGGUAGAGGAGAGUGGAAUUCCCGGUGUAGCAGUGAAAUGCGCAGAUAUCAGGAGGAACACCAAUUGCGAAGGCAGCUCGCUGGGACGGUACUGACGCUGAGACGCGAAAGCGUGGGGAGCGAACAGG